This 254-nucleotide ribosomal RNA is filed under the name uncultured bacterium. RNAcentral describes it as "partial 16S ribosomal RNA". It matches the Rfam family "Bacterial small subunit ribosomal RNA", at positions 524 to 776 of the family's 1533-position model. The record is from RNAcentral.
UACGUAGGGUGCAAGCGUUUGUCCGGAAUUAUUGGGCGUAAAGAGCUCGUAGGCGGUUUGUUGCGUCGGCUGUGAAAUCCCGAGGCUCAACCUCGGGUCUGCAGUCGAUACGAGCAAACUAGAGUGUUGCAGGGGAGACUGGAAUUCCUGGUGUAGCGGUGAAAUGCGCAGAUAUCAGGAGGAACACCGGUGGCGAAGGCGGGUCUCUGGGCCGAUACUGACGCUGAGGAGCGAAAGCGUGGGGAGCGAACAGG